GUAGGUGGCAAGCGUUGUCCGGAAUUAUUGGGCGUAAAGCGCGCGCAGGCGGUUCUUUAAGUCUGAUGUGAAAGCCCACGGCCCAACCGUGGAGGGUCAUUGGAAACUGGAGAACUUGAGUACAGAAGAGGAAAGCGGAAUUCCACGUGUAGCGGUGAAAUGCGUAGAGAUGUGGAGGAACACCAGUGGCGAAGGCGGCUUUCUGGUCUGUAACUGACGCUGAGGCGCGAAAGCGUGGGGAGCAAACAGGGAUUAGAUACCCUGGUAGUCCACGCCGUAAACGAUGAGUGCUAAGUGUUAGGGGGUUUCCGCCCCCUUAGUGCUGCAGCUAACGCAUUAAGCACUCCGCCUGGGGAUACGGCCGCAAGGCUG
RNAcentral lists this ribosomal RNA (372 nucleotides) under uncultured organism. RNAcentral's name for it is "partial 16S ribosomal RNA". It matches the Rfam family "Bacterial small subunit ribosomal RNA", at positions 527 to 896 of the family's 1533-position model. The record is from RNAcentral.